RNAcentral lists this transfer RNA (73 nucleotides) under Helianthus annuus (common sunflower). Its description in RNAcentral is "tRNA HanXRQr2_Chr02g0063551". The record is from RNAcentral. Lineage: Eukaryota; Viridiplantae; Streptophyta; Magnoliopsida; Asterales; Asteraceae.
GCUCCUAUAGCCCAGUUGGUUCAGCAGCUGGUUUACAACCCAGAGGUCUCAAGUUUGAAUCCUGCUGGAGACA